AUGAAACACAAAGAACUGUACGUGGCUGAACUCCUGAAGUCAGCAGGGACAUGCCAGGGUGGAUGUUAGCUUGAAAGACUGGCUUCGCAGUGUCUCCUCUGACUGACUACGAGGAAGUCUGUGCCUGGAUGUGAAAAGCAGGACCCGUGCUCAGGUGAGCCUGUGCUGCGGCGAUGAACCAGGGUCCAAUCCAGCAGAGGUAUGCAGAGAUGAUUGCGAAGUCCUGAGCAGCCUCAUCUCUUGCGGAGGCCCUGCGCGCUCCUGUGACAUGCUCAGCAUUGCUGCUGCACUCAGCUUCACCCCACGCACAGCUGUCUUGACCCUGCUGCCAUCUGAUGCUGCUUUUCAAAUUGCUAAAGUCAAAUUAGGAGCGCCUGGUGAGCACGUGCAGAGCCACAGGGAGUGCUGGGGUCCGUGGGAACCUGAGCCUGGCAGUGCUGUCGCUAGCUGGGAAGCUCUCCCUUCCUCUGGCUCCAGAGGCAUCCUCCAAAACCACAGAGAUCCCAAACACAACAGAAGGAGGGAACAAAGGAAUCACUGCAGCUCUCAGCUGUGCCAUGGCUACCCCAGUAUCAGAAGAUCUUUGGAGCCAAGGGAGCAUAGUUCAAGGGGUUGGAGAGGGAGAAUGAUGUUUCACUGCCUCCUCUUGGGCCUAGGCGAUGCAAGGGGAGCUCUGCUGUUGGCUCCCUUGGGAACAGGAUGCUGCUUCCCGUGGGAUGAAGUUAGGGAAAUGACCUGA
Apteryx owenii (little spotted kiwi) is the source of this 739-nucleotide long non-coding RNA. NCBI's taxonomy places the organism in Eukaryota, Metazoa, Chordata, Aves, Apterygiformes, Apterygidae. The record is from Ensembl.